ACACGACUACAUUAGAUACCCGGGUAGUCCUAGCCGUAAACGAUACUCGCUAGGUGUCGGCCACGGUGCGACUGUUGUCGGUGCCGUAGGGAAGCCGUGAAGCGAGCCACCUGGGAAGUACGGCCGCAAGGCUGAAACUUAAAGGAAUUGGCGGGGGAGCACCACAACGGGUGGAGCUUGCGGUUUAAUUGGAUUCAACGCCGGAAAUCUUACCGGGACCGACAGCAACAUGAAGGCCAGGCUGAAGACUUUGCCGGAUUAGCUG
Molecule: ribosomal RNA, 265 nt
Filed under: uncultured archaeon
Lineage: Archaea
Description: partial 16S ribosomal RNA
Rfam family: Archaeal small subunit ribosomal RNA
Source: RNAcentral